Molecule: transfer RNA, 79 nt
Filed under: Planctomycetota bacterium
Lineage: Bacteria; Pseudomonadati; Planctomycetota
Also listed under: 1 other name
Description: tRNA-Lys
Rfam family: tRNA (bases 20-74)
About the family: Transfer RNA (tRNA) molecules are approximately 80 nucleotides in length. Their secondary structure includes four short double-helical elements and three loops (D, anti-codon, and T loops).
Source: RNAcentral
UGGUCAGGGAUUGAUUCCCAGGUUUGCCGAGACCAUCUGACUCUUAAUCAGCGGGUCAUAGGUUCGAGUCCUAUACAGG